Molecule: long non-coding RNA, 10122 nt
Filed under: Homo sapiens (human)
Lineage: Eukaryota; Metazoa; Chordata; Mammalia; Primates; Hominidae
Description: HSALNT0219931
Source: RNAcentral
CCCAACCUGACUGCUGUGUUCUGCCCUGAGUCUGCAGAGGCUGACCCUGGCCAGGAAAGUGGUUGGAAAAGCAUUUUUGCAGAGAGGCAGCCUGAAGGUGGUGGCUCUAUGUAAGUGUGCACCCUUGGUUGGAAAGGCUGAAGGUCAGGAAUGGUAUUAGGAGAAAGUUCCCCCUUUCUCCUUUGUCCCUCCUUCCUGCCCCUGGACACAGGCUUGAGGAUCUGCAUCUGGCUGGCUCACCCUUCCUGCACAACUUUUCUAUUCAAGUUUUUCAGGGCAGGGCUUUAAGAAACACUUCAGGUUAAUUAUAGCCAGGGGUCAUUUUCUAUACAAGCGGGACAAACUUGAUGUGACUACAGGGCUGUCUCCAGGGCUGAUUCAUUCGACCUAGAAAACUGCCCCUAGGGAAACAGCCUCAGAAUCUUGCCUGCAGCUCUGGAAGUGGUAAUGGGCCCACCUGUCUCCCUGCCCAUCAUCUCACAUCUGGGGGAAUGUCUUGGCUAGCAGCAUGGCCCUGAGUGAGGGGUUUAGGUAAACAAGGUGUGACUGGGAUUGGAAGAGUCACAAACCUGUUUGUUAGAGCAAUGCUGAAGAGUUUCAGGAAAAGAAUUUCAUCAAGGCUGGCACAUCUGUCCUCAGACACUUGAAGGAUUCCCUGGAGGAAGGAGGACUGAACUUGCCCUACAAGAUCCUGCGGGGCAAAGAACUGUAAGCAGAGACAAAAUGAAAGCCCUCUAGGCCCACAAUUGAUUCUAACGGCUGUGAGGGAAUGAGCUUCAACUACUGUUGAUGGGAGGGACUGUGUGCCAGGCACUGUGCUAGGGACUCUCAUGCAUGAUCUCAUUCAUCUUCUGCAUAACCCAAUGAGGUAUGAUCUACUAUCAAGUGUCUACAUUUGUAUUGGAUUGGUAUGUGUGCCCAACAAAGAAAGUGUCAUUUUUCCUUGGGAAUGAAAUCACAUCAUUUGUGAAGACUUAGUAGAGGCUAAAUGAGUACAAGCAGCAUUUACCUUAUUAAACAGAUAUUUUCAACAUUUAAAACAGUCUGACCAUCAAUGAUGAUGUUCAAAAACAUCUCAAGAUGUUUUAGAGCUAAAGCAAAUGAGAAAAUAUAGUAAAGGGCUGAUUCCUGUGGAUAUUCUGCAAAGGAAAGUAACAUGGUGGAGUGGAAGUGGGAUAAGGUUUGAAGCCAAAAGACCUGGUGGGCUUAAGGUCUCCAUUUAUUGGUUGUGUGACCUUGGAUAAGCCACUUCACCUCCUGGUGAGACUUGGGCAAAAUGGAGAUCAUAUUAAUCACCUCACAGUUUGUUACGCAUUGAGUAAAUGCACAUGUAAGCAUUAUUGACUGUAAAUGAUUAUGCAUAUUUUAAUUAUGGUAUAUCCAAGCCUGAUUUUUCAUCCAGUGCUUACAGUGCCCUGGGCAUAAUACUCAUUCAAUAAACAUUUGUUUGAUGAUAGAGUAAUAAAUGAAUAUGUGAUGCAGAAGUUUUAAAAAUAUUUUUGCUGCUGUCUGACUCAUUUAUAGACAUUUAUAAAAUUGAGGAUUUGUAAGUUGUCCCUGGACAAUCAGAUCUCUUGAUUCAAAGGUGAAAGAUAAUCAUUCAGGUUUUCAAGUUUUUCCUGAUAUGAGACAUUAACUGGCAGGGCUGAUUAUGAGAAAUUGUCAUUAUCCUGCUCAAAUAUAAGAUCAUAGAUUUGGGAAACCUUAGAAAUAAUUACCUUCUUUUCAAAUAUGAGGAAACUGAAGCCCAGAGGCUCUAAGAAAUCAGGGACUUUAUAUAAUUUUUUCAUUUCUCUAGCUCUAGGGUAAUUGUAGAUAGAUAUACAACAAGUAUGUUUUUAAAAGUAUAUUUUUCAAGAAUUAUGCUAAGCACUGGGGAAAUAAACAUUAACAAGACAAAACCCUCCCCUUUGAGGAACUGAUAAUCUAGACAGACAUGAAAACCAGGAAGUGUGCUAUCAGUUAUAUUAAUGUUGUACAGAGUUCUAGUGGCAAGAGGGAACUGCCAAGGGAAAUCUGAGAGGAGGUGUUUACCCUGCGUAAACACCUUGCUGUUUAGCUUGGCAUCCCUAGAAGCAGACCCUGAGGACAGUGGGAAAAUGGAUUAUUAAGGAAGUGCUCCUGAGAGAAACCAGAAAGGGGGUGUAGGGAGCAAGGGAGGAUAAGGAGAAGACUCCAGUAAGGAUGAGAUUACUCAAGUCCCAUGGAAGACAGGUUAGCCUGAUCCUGCAGGGGAGCCCUGGAGGACUUAACAUCUCUGGAAAGCCAGAAAUCAGAGAUACAGAGAAGUAUUGAAAUGCUGAAAUGCUAUGAAUUUACUAUAAGAGAACAUUCUUCACUGAAGAGAUCUCUAGCUGCCAAAACACCCUUUCAUGCGUGAAAUACCGGGGCAAAGAGGAAGGAAAAGAGAAGAGUAUGACUCUAGGAACCAUGUUGCAGAAAUGCCAAAGGGUGGGACAAACAAAGUUACUAAUGUGGAGAAAGAAGAUUAUCAUGUGUGGAACGAAGGACAAUAUGAACAUUAAAUAAUGCCCUGACUCAUUCCAAAAAGAAUCUGAGAUGACCAAUAAAGCCAUUUUUAAUUGUUUAUUAGUGAACAAUAGAUUAUGAGUGCUAAAGGGAUUCAGGAAGAAGAAAGAUCAGUGCAGAGUAGAGAAGUCUGAUGGAUGCAUUGAAGAAGCUAUGCUUGAGCUGAAAUGACAAGAGAGCUGUUUUUCGCUUUCAGAAUUAUUAUGUGGCAAUGGUAAUUGACAACAGAGAAGCUGAAGGGAGGAAGUCACUUUAUGGGAGCAGAGUCACUCUCAAGUAAUAGCUGGCCAUACAGAUUGCUCUGGACCAAGGGUGAAUGUGAAGAAGAAAAGACCGGCCAGCAACACAAUGGAAUAUCUAGAGUCAUAUUGAGGGAAAUACUUAGAUUGCUGAUUUCUUAGUGGAUUUCACAAGCAGAGCUGCUUGUGAGCAGAAUGGUGAAGUAGGGGCAUGUGUUUCUGGGGUCUUAUUCCAUGGCUUCCUUCCACCUACAAGAGUCAUCCUCACGGAGUACUUGCAUUUCAGUAGAAGAAAAAAAUCUUAUAGAUGGAAGGGAAGGAUGGGGUUCCUGCUUUAGGAAGAUUGGCAUGGUCAUAAGUCUGAGCAAGGAAGGGCCCAGGGCAGCUCAGAGCUCUGAGCAGGAAGCUCUAAUUAGUUACUGAAUAUGGUGCAAGCACAAAGAGAGCGUAGUGUUUUCCCUUUCCAUCUGUGGAAGUCUUGGCCAUGCUUACUUGGGCGUUCCUUCCAGGAAACAUUUAUUUUUCCUCUUUAAUGCCCUCCUCAUAUCUAUGCUCUCAGUAGAGGAUGCCACUGCUUCUGGCACCUGGAUAAUAGAAUGAAGCUGAUUGGGAUGGAAACAGAAAAGUCAUCUCUCAGAACAAUGAGCAGAGACUGAAACUCCCUUGUACCCAGUCCCUGUGCACUGCUGUUCAUAGCCAAAUGGGCAAGGCCUUGCCAAAUGUCAUGUUGAGGUGAGGCCCUAAGUGAUAGAAAAAUAAAAAAUGACUAUGGCCACUUGCAUGUUCAGAGAAUUCAGUUUAGAAAAUGCUAUGCUGGGAGGAUCUCUCUUAAUAUCUUGUUUGCAUCAGAAUGUUCAAGUUGCAAUAUAUGUUUUUGUUUUGUGUAUUUAUUUAUUUUCCUCUACUCUAUUCUGUUAAGUCUUUUAGGGCAAAGGUAGGGUAGUCUAUACUCCCUGCGUUAUCCAUAAUGCCUAGCACUGUGUCUUGUACAUAAAAGGUCAUAAUAAAUACCUGUUGGCUAGAUAGAUGAAUGGAUAGAGUGCCUCAUUUAGAAGCAUUAUACUUCUAUGGAAAAAAAUUUUUAAAUGUAUUUUUUUCUAUGAGAUAACACAGUUCCUGAAUAGGUCAUGGGCAGGUGCUAUUCAAGUUUGCGAAGGAAAGGUUUUCCUAGAGUUAGGGUAAUUUUUUCCUCAAAUAAGAAAAACCUACAGUAAAUAAUUACUCUCCAUAUUAUCUUUAGGUUUCUUGCCAGUAUUAACAUCUUUUUUAUUGUAAGUGAUGAUAUUGUCUGUGAGAACAUUACAGUAGGUUAGUAUCCUGGGUUAAGCUAAGUGUUGUUGAAAAUAAUCCUGGACAUCCAAACAGGAAGAGAGGAAGUCAAACUAUUCCUGUUUGCAAAUAACAUGAUUCUAUAUCUAGAAAACCCUGUAAUGUCAGCCCCAAGGCUCUGUGAGAUCAGAGAUAAAUAACCUCAGCAAAGUCAACAUACAAACAUCAGUAGCAUUCCUUAUACAAACAACAUCCAAGCUGAUGGCCAAAUCAGGAUGCAAUCCCAUUCACAAUUGCCCCCCCAAAAAUAUAAAAUACUUAGGAAUACAGCUAACCAGGGAUGUGAAAGAUCUCUAUAAUAAGAAUUACAAAACACUGCUCAAAAAAUCAUAGAUGACACCAAAAAUUGGAAAAAUAAUCCAUGCUCAUGGAUUGGAUGAAUCAAUAUCAUUAAAAUGGCCAUACUGCCCAAAGCAAUUUACAGAUUUCACAGAUUCAGUGCUAUUCCUAUCAAAAUAUCAAUGACAUUUUUCGUGGAAUUAGAAAAAACUAUUUUAAAAUUGACAUGGAACCCAAAAGGGACCCCGAAUAGUCGAGGCAAUCCUAAACAAAAAGAACAAAGCUGGAGGUAUUAUAUUACCCAAUGUCAACAUAUACUACAGGGCUAUAGUAACCAAAAGAGCAUGGUACUGGUACAAAAACAGACACAUAGACCAAUAGAACGUAAUAAAGAGCCCAGAAAUAAUGUCACACCACUUACAACCAUCUGAUCUUCAAUAAAGCUGACAAAAACAAACAAUAGGGAAAAGAUUCCUCAUUCAAUAAAUGGUGCUGGGAUAACUGGCUAGUCAUAUGCAGAAGAUUGAAACUGGACACCCCACCUUACACUACAUACAAAAAUCAGUGUAAGAUGAAUUAAAGGCUUAAAUGUAAAACCUAAAACUAUAAAAACCCUGAAAGAUAACCUAGGAAAUACCAUUCUGGACAUAGAACUUGGCAAAGAUUUCAUGAUGAAGACAACAAAAGCAAUUGCAACAAAAACAAAAAUUGACAAAUGGGAUCUAAUUAAACUGAAGAGCUUCUGAACAAAAAAAGAAACUAUCAACAGAGUAAACAGACAACCUACAGAAUGGGAGAAGAUAUCUGCAAACUAUGCAUCCAACAAAGGUCUAAUAUCCAGAUGCUGUAAGGAACUUAAAUUUAUAAGCAUAAACAAACAACCCCAUUAAAAAGUGGGCAAAGGACAUGAAGAGAUACUUUUCAAAAGAAGACAUAUAUGUGGCCAACAAGCAUAUAAAAAAUGCUCAACAUCACUAAUCAUUAGAGAAAUGCAAAUUAAAACCACAGUGAAAUACCAUCCCACACCAGUCAGAAUGGCUAUUAUUAAAAGUUGAAAAAUAAUAGGUGCUAGCAAUGUUGUGGAGAAAAGGGAACACUUAUACACCACUGAUGGGAAUGUAAAUUAGUUCAGCCACUGUAGAAAGCAGUUGGGUGAUUCCUCAAAGAACUUAAAAAAACAGAGUUACCAUCCAACCUAGCAACCCCAUUAUUGGGUAUAAUCCAAAGGAAUAUAAAUUGUUCUAUCAUAAAGACACAUGCACAUGUAUAUUCAUUGCAGCACUAUUCGCAAUAAGAAAGAUAUGGCAUCACCCUAAAUGCCCAUCAGUGGUAGACUGGAUAAAGAAAAUGUGGUGCAUAUACACCAUGGAAUACUAUGCAGCCAUAAAAAACAAUGAGAUCAUGUCCUGUGAAGCAACAUGGAUGGAUCUGGAAGCCAUUAUCCUAAGCAAACUAACACAAGAACAGAAAACCAAAUAUGGCAUGUUCUUACAAGUGGAAGCUAAACAAUAGGAACACAUGGAUAUUAGAAGGGUAACAGAAGAUAUUGGGGCCUACUUGAGGGUGGAAAGUGGGAGGAAGGAGAGGAUCGGAAAAAUACCUAUUGGGUACUAUGUUUAUUACCUGGAUGAUAAAAUUAUCUGUCACCAAACCCCUGUGACAUGCAGUUUACCUAUAUAACAAACCUGCACAUGUACCCCUGAGCCUAAAAUAAAAGUUUAAAAAAAAAAAAGAAAAUACACCUGGACCCUAUUUUGAAAGACAUACUGUAGACUUGAGGGAGGAAGAGCAGAGGGAUGGAAAGGGCCCCGAAUUACCCACAAGCCAUGUGAAUGCUUAAGCAGUCAUGGACCACAAUUCUCACCACACACACACACACACACACACACACACACACACACACACACACACAGGUCUGAACCCUUACCCCUGUCUACUACUUAUUGGAGCUUGGUAGAAAAAAAGUUGUGAGUGACAGAAAAGUGAGAAAAAGAGAAGAAGAAGAAAAAUUGGAAAGUGUGGAAGAAAAAGUGGCAAAUGCAAGCAGCCCUUAAUGGAACUGUGCUGAAUUGAGAGACAGCAGAAGGUAACAGCUGGCUGGGACUUGGCCAUGAAAGGUGGAAUGUGAGGAGACAAAUGAAAUGGAAAUGCAGGAAAGAAUGGAGUGGCAAAGGAGGCUGGAGAUGGGGCAGAGGAUAGCAAGGGGAGAGAAGGAAGCACAGAAAGGGUGUGGGGGACAGGCCAGAGAGUAGAAGGCUAGAUGGAACUGACUGAUGCCACCAGUCAGAGAUGGAGACCAUUAACAAUGUGUAGGGAAACCCCUGCCUUCCCAAUAAUGAAAAUGCAGGUUUAAUCAGUACCAAGGAACACUGUGAAGUAAGGGCAUUGACUUGGGAAGUGAAAGCCGAAGAUAGAGCAAACCCCAUACGGCAUAUCCUAACUCGCCAUUUUAACAGCAGAAAGACUCGAAAAUACAAAGCAAAGGAUUAUCCAAAGGGCUUUUUAAAAUAAUGCUUAAAAUUUUAAUCUUGUAAAUAUAUUUCCCUUCCCAGUAUGAAAAUAAUUCCGAGUAUAAUCUUUAUUUACUUUCCCCUUUUUAUUUUAGAAGAGUAAACAUAGCUUUAAGAAUUAAAAAAAUCAGUUAAUAAUCUGACUUUUAAGUCAGCUGUAAAAAUGUAAGUUUCUAGCUCUGCCACUUUUUAGUAGUGUGACUUUGGGCAAAUUGCUCAAAAACUCCAAAUUCUUGUUUCUUUACCUACAAAAAAGGGACAAUAAUACAUACCUCCUAUGAUAGUAGAAAAUUACGUGAAAAUAUACUCCAAGUAUCUCAGAGGGCUUGAUUUCCAGAAAGCGCCCAAGCUCAAUCAAUAGUGACGUUUACUAUCCACGCAGCCAGUUCUACUACUGGGAGUUGGUUGGUGCUGAUAAAGCUUUUUGUCAGACUUCUCACAAUUUCCAUUGUGAGAAGAUGUAGCUUCCAAUUAACUCUGUCACUGAUUGUUGGGUAACUUUGGGCCAAAUGCUGUUCCUUAAUGAAUGUGGGUGUGAAACUUAUUAAGAUUAAUGACUGUCACAGCUGUUAGCCAGAUGUUUACAUAAUUCCCUCUGUUUUACAGCAAUCAUAUCAGAGGAAAGGGGUUGAAUGAUAGAAUUAGAAAAAUAAGUACAAUAUUGUGGGAAUGAAUAAAUGUUGUUUUGGAGGGUAGGAGAUUAAAAUCCUAAAUGUAUUUUGAUUAGGCUAAUAUUAAAAAUUAGCAUCUGUAAAUCAGUAAUCUAAUUGAAGGAAUUUUUUAACACAAGUGACUGGUGGAGGGGACACAGCAUGGGAGGGCAUGCUUACAGCAAGAGCUCCAUUGAUUAAAUAGUCCCCUGCAGAACACAGAGAGUUAAAUACGUCUUUAAUAGCCUCCAGCAUGAAAGGGCAAAUCAUUUGUUUUAAUUGAGGAAGGAUAAAAUAUUUUUGCUUUACACAUAUAUGUUCUAUUUUAGCAUCAUAGUUAUUUUUAUAGCUGUUAUAACUUCACAAAACCUAAUAGGAAAAUAAAUCUGAAUCCAGAAGAGUUCAAUACUUUCCAGAGGAGUCUAGUAAAUAAAAACUCUACACUGACUGACUGAUCUUAUUCAUGCACUGCUCCUAAACCCAAACUCUCAAGUGAAGGGAAAAGAGGUUAAUUCGUUGGAAUAAAUUCAUGGGAUUUUUUUUUAAAGACACAUCCUGAAUCAAAGUGAUUAAAACAACAAAUGGAUAAAGGGUAGAGCUGUGAGAGGACAAGGUUUGCAUUACUGAGCAUCUUGAUUAUGUGGGGAAGAUGGGAAACAGAUCUUGCCCAUUCUGGUCUCAAACUACUAAAUCCUGAGAAUGCCAAGAGGCGAGUCACUGAAGUCAGAAGUUGGAAACAUGGCUAAGCUGUCCAGAGUGUGGAACACAUGGUCUCUGAAGGUUUUUAUUAGUGUGUGGGUGAGAGUUCAGAAGCUCUACUAAUUACUUUUGUUUUCAGAAUUUAUAAAGUUAAGACAGAAAGCGGAAUAUUAACACUUCACUUCCUCGUGCAGUCAUUAAUUUACUCACUUAGCAUACAUUUAUUCAUAGAAGCUUAUUGGUACCAAGUAUACCCUCAAUGAGCAACCAACCCAAAAUUGCAAAAGGGAGAUCAAACAGGGAAGCUGUGGUAGGAAGUAUCAUGGCCUCUUCAAAGAUGUCUAUAUACUAAUCACAGAAUUUAUGUAUAUGUGAUGCUGUAUGUCAAGGGAAGAUUAAGGUGUGCAGAUGGAAUUAAGGUUGCUAAUCAGCUGACCUUAAAAUAGGAGUACUAUCUUGGAAUAUCUGGGUGGGCUCAAUGUAAUCACAAAUGUUCUUAACAGAUAGAAGAAGAAGGCAGAGGAGUCAGUGUUGGAGUGAUGCCAUGUGAGAAAGACUCAACUGGCCAUUGCUGGCUUUGAAAAUGGAAGGAGGCAUAAGCCAAGGAAUGAAUGCAGGUGCCUCUAGAACCUGGAAAAAGCAAGGAAACAAAUUCUCCUCUAGAACCUCCAGAAGGAAUGCAUUCCUGCCAACACCUUGAUUUUUAGCUCGGUGAGACCCAUGCUGGACUUCUGACCUGCAGGAUUGCAAGAUAAGAUAUUUGACUUAUUUUAAGAUGCUAAGUUUGCAGUAAUUUGAUAUGGUAGCCAUCGGAAACUAAUACCGAUGCCAAAGCAGUAAAGCAGGAAAGCACUCCAAAAUCACAGGAGUGAGAGGAGCAGAAAUGUCCUAGGAGAAGACAAUGUUUCCUUUUGAAAAGGAAAGUUUACUGGCAACUUCCAUUUGAAUUUCUUAAUUUCUUUCCUCAGUGGCAGUCACUACUUCCAAGGUGGCAGGUUCCAGAGCUGAUUCAUUAUAUAAUCUUUUCUCAGGAGUAUUCUAGCCACCUUUAAAGAAGCUAGGGCCAUUUUCCUGACACUGCAUCAAGGGGUAAGGUUAGUGGUAAAGAAACCAUGCGGUAGGAAAGGCCAACUUUCUCCCUACAUAAUCCAAUCGCAUUAUCUCCAGACUUGCUCACCCUCUGCUCUUUGCAUACUGCAGCUCCAGAGCUUUCAUACCUACAGACUUCCUGGAGUUAAGACUAAAACAAGAGUUGUGCUACAGACUACCGUUCCUAUUAUCAUUUUUUGUGUCCUGCUGAGUCCUCCCCUCUUGGCAACUUCAGGACCACCCACUGGGAAGAUAAUAUACAACCCAUCAGGAAACUCCCAGUGCCCAUCGUGGAGGCCAAGUGCUGCCAACUCUGAUUGCUUCUGGAAUGCCAUUUCUUCCCUGCCCUUUCAAUAUUCUUGUUAUGCGACUCCUAUGAUCACUGCCAAUCUGUAGAAAAUUACAGGAUGAAUUUUUGUGAAGGACUGAAUUUGCAUACUGGUCUUUUGUUGUUUAUUGUUGGGGGGAUUUUGCUUUUUGCACACAAUUUCUGCACAUUUUAUUGGAAGUUAUUGGGUUAGAUUCAUCCCAUUCAUUCACUAGCCUGGCAUUGCUAUGCAUGUGCUGUAGGGGCUUAGCAUUAAACGAUUUUCUUUGUUCAGAUUUGGAUUGCUGUCUCUGCUUGCAAAUUAUUUUUCACAAUGACUCCUUCUUUUCCUUCUCUCUCUCUCUCUUUCUCUCUCUCUCUCUCUCACACACACACACAGACACACACACACACACACACACACACACACACACACACACACAGAUGAGGUUAGAUAUUUUUCCAUUGCCAAGUUCAGGACCCAUGAAUAC